Long non-coding RNA from Populus euphratica (Euphrates poplar), 948 nucleotides. RefSeq lists it as uncharacterized. The transcript has 4 exons. The record is from RefSeq and is a predicted model, not a curated record. NCBI's taxonomy places the organism in Eukaryota, Viridiplantae, Streptophyta, Magnoliopsida, Malpighiales, Salicaceae.
AUCAACUCGCUUUCUUUUUUUAGAGUUCUUCUCGGAUUUCAACCAACGAUUUCGUUUUGGUUGUUUUUUUAGGCUCGGUGUUGAUGGAGAGAAGAAAUCUGCGAAAGAGCAGUAGUGAAGAGGAGAGCUUGAGCUUGGUGUCUAGUGGCUCGAAAUCGUGCGCUUCAUCUCUAACAAUUGAUGGAUCUAAGGAGAUUCGAGCUCACAAGCUCAAAAUCGUCGCUUUCGUGUCUCGCUGCCAUGAAACGAAGCUCAAGUUUAUUUUCAUGUAAUUUUUGCAGGUAGCGUGAAGGAGGCACUCGAAGGUGAACUGGAGCUCUGGCCACCAGAGGUCAAUCGUGCUAGCUCCGCCGGAGAAGGCAGCUGCGCUGGUGGCGUCUAUAGAGUCAGGUUCGUGCUUGUCAAGUGGUUCCAGCGCCGCUUCAAAAAAGCAAAGCCACUUUAUGUAUACGAACGGAUUGAUGAUGAAGCAGGCUGGUUCGUGAUGAUCAGGAGGAGACGAAGAGGAUCAGAUCUGGCUUUGGCUAGCGUUACAUGAGCGGCUGACCCGAACAACAUGGAGUCUGCUGUCAAGUGGUUGUUUCUCCGAAAUGAGGAUUCGUCGUGUGCUUGGCGACAGUACUCCUAGUCCUAGCACAAGCAAAGCUUUGAGAAAAAUACGGUGAAUUUCACCUGCUGUGGUGUAACGUCAGGCUGUUAAAGCAAAAGGCGGUGAAAAGAUCUGGUGAAGGAGGGAGUCAUGACCAUUUACACGGGAAAGAACCUUACCGAACAGUUGUUGGGCUGCGAUCUGCCGGCAUUUUAGAAUGGCCAGCUAUGGGGUUUGUGAUUUGUUGGACGACAUGUUACAUAAUCUAUUUUUUUUAUAUAUUUUUUUAAUGUUUUUUUAUUGUAAGCUAGAAAUCUUGUGCCAGCAACCCAAUUGCAUCAAAGUAAACUUCAAAUCAU